GCGCUAACAAAAAGAUAAAUAAGCAAAGGCACAUUCAAGAGGAGAGAGAAAGAGAGUGAAUUCAAACUUGGACACAAGUGCAUUGAGCAUCAUCGACCAUUUCAUAUCAGAUGAGAUAAUGAUCAAAAGGUAUAGGACAAGAGAGAAAGCGGGUUGAUAGGCGUAAACACAGAGAGAUGUGUUCUUUAAGUUCUUUAAUGGUAAAUUAUUGUAAAAAUCUAAAAACGCACAGGUACAUGCUUUGCAGUAAACCAGGUCAUUUAAAUAACCAUAGGAAUCCUAGCCUUCCAUAACCUAAAAAUUCUACUUGCAUUGCUAGACUAUACCAGAUGUUUUUC
This 338-nucleotide long non-coding RNA is filed under the name Amborella trichopoda. Its description in RNAcentral is "long non-coding RNA (ATRI_LNC003171)". The record is from RNAcentral. Lineage: Eukaryota; Viridiplantae; Streptophyta; Magnoliopsida; Amborellales; Amborellaceae.